Molecule: ribosomal RNA, 263 nt
Filed under: uncultured archaeon
Lineage: Archaea
Description: partial 16S ribosomal RNA
Rfam family: Archaeal small subunit ribosomal RNA
Source: RNAcentral
ACACGACUACAUUAGAUACCCCUGUAGUCCUAGGCGUAAAUGAUGCGAGUUAAGUGUGGGGGCAUCUACGAGAUGGCCCUGUGCUGUAGGGUAGCCGUUAAACUCGCUGCCUGGGAGUACGGUCGCAAGACUGAAACUUAAAGGAAUUGGCGGGGAGCACCACAACGGGUGGAGCCUGCGGUUUAAUCGGACUCAACGCCGGGAAUCUCACCGGAUGAGACAGCUGAAUGAUAGUCGGGCUGAAGACCCUGCAUGACCAGCUG